Molecule: ribosomal RNA, 375 nt
Filed under: Herbaspirillum sp. CM14
Lineage: Bacteria; Pseudomonadati; Pseudomonadota; Betaproteobacteria; Burkholderiales; Oxalobacteraceae
Description: bacterial SSU rRNA
Rfam family: Bacterial small subunit ribosomal RNA
Source: RNAcentral
AGUGCUCGAAAGAGAACCAUCACACAGGUGCUGCAUGGCUGUCGUCAGCUCGUGUCGUGAGAUGUUGGGUUAAGUCCCGCAACGAGCGCAACCCUUGUCAUUAGUUGCUACGAAAGGGCACUCUAAUGAGACUGCCGGUGACAAACCGGAGGAAGGUGGGGAUGACGUCAAGUCCUCAUGGCCCUUAUGGGUAGGGCUUCACACGUCAUACAAUGGUACAUACAGAGGGCCGCCAACCCGCGAGGGGGAGCUAAUCCCAGAAAGUGUAUCGUAGUCCGGAUUGGAGUCUGCAACUCGACUCCAUGAAGUUGGAAUCGCUAGUAAUCGCGGAUCAGCAUGUCGCGGUGAAUACGUUCCCGGGUCUUGUACACACCG